Molecule: long non-coding RNA, 969 nt
Organism: Carassius gibelio (silver crucian carp)
Lineage: Eukaryota; Metazoa; Chordata; Actinopteri; Cypriniformes; Cyprinidae
Exons: 6
Source: RefSeq, a predicted model, not a curated record
UUGAGGGGUCUAGAAUGUGGAGUGUAGUUAAAAUUUGGGUAAAAGUUUAGACUUGGGUGUAGGUUAACAUUAGGGUGCAGGUCUAGGAGACAGUUAAAGUUUGGGGGAAGGUUGAGAAUGUUGGGUGUAGGUUAAGAGGUUAGGGUGGAGGUCUAGGACUCAGUUAUAGUUUGGGUGAAGGUUUAGAAUGUUGGGUGUAGGUUAAGAGGUUAGGGUGGAGGUCUAAGACUCAGUUAAAGUUUGGGUGAAGGUUUAGAAUGUUGGGUGUAGGUUAAGAGGUUAGGGUGGAGGUCUAGGACUCAGUUAAAGUUUGGGUGAAGGUUUAGAAUGUUGGGUGUAGGUUAAGAGGUUAGGGUGGAGGUCUAAGACUCAGUUAAAGUUUGGGUGAAGAUUGAGAAUGUUGUGUGUAGGUUAAGAGGUUAGGGUGGAGGUCUAGGACUCAGUUAAAGUUUAGGGGAAGGUUGAGAAAGUUGGGUGUAGGUUAAGAGGUUAGGGUGGAGGUCUAGGACUCAGUUAAAGUUUGGGUGAAGGUUUAGAAUGUUGGGUGUAGGUUAACAGUUUAGGGAGUAGGAGAUUCCCAUGGAAUAUCUUUAUCAGGGAACUGAUUAUCAAUGAAAUCUCUUCCAAACAUGUCAUCACAUCUGUCUGGGUACAACAAAAACCCGCUGAAUGUGCUGCUGGACUCGGAGCCGGUGAACAUGCCAUUAGUGGUGGUGUCUUUCACCUGUACCCACACCCAGUCACCCUGGCUCAGACUCAGCACCACCUGCUGAGACGCGGUGUUCAUGUCUACUGGCGUAGUUGUCCUCACUACAGCCUCGAAGUUGCGGAAGAGUCCGACCUUUAGCAUACGGGUGGACACCUGCAGAUGGUAGCUAAACACGUAGGUUCCGUUAACCGGGGCGGUGUAGACCCCAUUAUCAGGGUUGUAGUUCUGGUUUAAGUUGUAGAUGACACGUUUGAAAGGCA